ACCAGACUCCUACGGGAGGCAGCAGUGGGGAAUAUUGCACAAUGGGGGGAACCCUGAUGCAGCGACGCCGCGUGGGUGAAGGAGCGCCUCGGUGCGUAAAGCCCUAUCGGCAGGGAAGAAACAGACGGUACCUGACUAAGAAGCCCCGGCUAACUACGUGCCAGCAGCCGCGGUAAUACGUAGGGGGCAAGCGUUAUCCGGAUGCACUGGGUGUAAAGGGGGCGCAGACGGCAGCGCAAGCCAGGAGUGAAAGCCCGGGGCCCAACCCCGGGACUGCUCUUGGAACUGCGCGGCUGGAGUGCAGGAGGGGCAGGCGGAAUUCCUGGUGUAGCGGUGAAAUGCGUAGAUAUCAGGAGGAACACCGGUGGCGAAGGCGGCCUGCUGGACUGCGACUGACGUUGAGGCCCGAAAGCGUGGGGAGCAAACAGGAUUAGAUACCCGAGUA
Molecule: ribosomal RNA, 445 nt
Filed under: uncultured bacterium
Lineage: Bacteria
Description: partial 16S ribosomal RNA
Rfam family: Bacterial small subunit ribosomal RNA
Source: RNAcentral